AGAGUUUGAUCCUGGCUCAGAAUGAACGCUGGCGGCGUGCUUAACACAUGCCAGUCGCGCGAGAAAGUUGGCUUCGGCCGGCGAGUACAGCGGCGGACGGGUGCGUAACACGUGGGUAAUCUGCCUGGGUGUGGGGGACAACUUGGGGAAACUCGAGCUAAUACCGCAUACGCUCCGAGGGCCACGGCCCGAGGAGGAAAGCUGGCCUCUUCUUGAAAGCUAGCGCUCCCAGAGGAACCCGCGCUCGAUUAGCUUGUUGGUGGGGUAACGGCCUACCAAGGCGACGAUCGAUAGCCGGCCUGAGAGGGUGAUCGGCCACAUUGGGACUGAGACACGGCCCAGACUCCUACGGGAGGCAGCAGUGGGGAAUUUUGGGCAAUGGGGGAAAACCCUGACCCAGCGACGCCGCGUGGGGGAUGAAGGUCUUCGGAUUGUAAACCCCUGUCAGGUGGGAAGAAGGAUAUAUUGGUUAAUACCCAGUAUAUUUUGACGGUACCACCAAAGGAAGCCCCGGCUAACCCCGUGCCAGCAGCCGCGGUAAUACGGAGGGGGCGAGCGUUAUUCGGAUUUACUGGGCGUAAAGCGCACGUAGGUGGCGAGAUAAGUCAAAGGUGAAAGCCCUCGGCUCAACCGAGGAACUGCCUUUGAAACUGUUUUGCUUGAGUUCAGGAGGGGGGAGCGGAAUUCCUAGUGUAGCGGUGAAAUGCGUAGAUACUAGUAGGAACACCGGUGGCGAAGGCGGCUCCCUGGACUGAUACUGACACUGAGGUGCGAAAGCGUGGGUAGCAAACAGGAUUAGAUACCCUGGUAGUCCACGCCGUAAACGAUGGGUACUAGGUGCAGCGGGUGUCGACCCCUGCUGUGCCGAAGCUACGCAUUAAGUACCCCGCCUGGGGAGUACGGUCGCAAGAU
Molecule: ribosomal RNA, 912 nt
Filed under: uncultured bacterium
Lineage: Bacteria
Description: bacterial SSU rRNA
Rfam family: Bacterial small subunit ribosomal RNA
Source: RNAcentral